GACGAACGCUGGCGGCGUGCUUAACACAUGCAAGUCGAACGGAAAGGCCCUGCUUUUGUGGGGUGCUCGAGUGGCGAACGGGUGAGUAACACGUGAGUAACCUGCCCUUGACUUUGGUAUAACUUCAGGAAACUGGGGCUAAUACCGGAUAGGAGCUCCUGCUGCAUGGUGGGGGUUGGAAAGUUUCGGCGGUUGGGGAUGGACUCGCGGCUUAUCAGCUUGUUGGUGGGGUAGUGGCUUACCAAGGCUUUGACGGGUAGCCGGCCUGAGAGGGUGACCGGCCACAUUGGGACUGAGAUACGGCCCAGACUCCUACGGGAGGCAGCAGUGGGGAAUAUUGCACAAGGGGCGGAAGCCUGAUGCAGCAACGCCGCGUGCGGGAUGACGGCCUUCGGGUUGUAAACCGCUUUCGCCUGUGACGAAGCGUGAGUGACGGUAAUGGGUAAAGAAGCACCGGCUAACUACGUG
Molecule: ribosomal RNA, 468 nt
Filed under: uncultured bacterium
Lineage: Bacteria
Description: partial 16S ribosomal RNA
Rfam family: Bacterial small subunit ribosomal RNA
Source: RNAcentral